GCAAACUUGGUCAUUUAGAGGAAGUAAAAGUCGUAACAAGGUAACCGUAGGUGAACCUGCGGUUGGAUCAUUACAGUGAUUUUUAUGAAUCGAAACGGGAGUUGCGUGGUUUAGCUGAGAAUGCUGAGCCAGCGAUUUUCGCACACCCACAAAUGUGAACUGAAGAAAUGUCCAUUGGCAGUCAGAUGGGCCCGUUGAACAAAUAAACCCAGCUCCUUGGCCCGAGCUCAUGGGGCGUGUUUUGCACAAGACACGCGGCUGCCAGCAUUUUUCAUGCAAACACCCAUGCCAUUUGUCACUUUUGUUAACUGUUACACAAACAAACAAAACUUCAGACAACGGAUCUCUUGGCUCUCGCAUCGAUGAAGAACGCAGC
Molecule: unclassified non-coding RNA, 376 nt
Filed under: uncultured fungus
Lineage: Eukaryota; Fungi
Description: partial contains small subunit ribosomal RNA, internal transcribed spacer 1, and 5.8S ribosomal RNA
Rfam family: Eukaryotic small subunit ribosomal RNA (bases 1-73)
Source: RNAcentral